Molecule: ribosomal RNA, 449 nt
Filed under: uncultured bacterium
Lineage: Bacteria
Description: bacterial SSU rRNA
Rfam family: Bacterial small subunit ribosomal RNA
Source: RNAcentral
CCAGACUCCUACGGGAGGCAGCAGUGGGGAAUAUUGGACAAUGGGGGGAACCCUGAUCCAGCGACGCCGCGUGAGUGAAGAAGUAUUUCGGUAUGUAAAGCUCUAUCAGCAGGGAAGAAAGAAAUGACGGUACCUGACUAAGAAGCCCCGGCUAACUACGUGCCAGCAGCCGCGGUAAUACGUAGGGGGCAAGCGUUAUCCGGAUUUACUGGGUGUAAAGGGAGCGUAGACGGCGAUGCAAGUCUGAAGUGAAAGGCGGGGGCCCAACCCCCGGACCGCUUUGGAAACUGUAUGGCUGGAGUGCAGGAGAGGUAAGUGGAAUUCCUAGUGUAGCGGUGAAAUGCGUAGAUAUCAGGAGGAACACCGGCGGCGAAGGCGGCCUGCUGGACCGUGACUGACGUUGAGGCUCGAGAGCGUGGGGAGCAAACAGGAUUAGAUACCCGGGUAGG